Molecule: ribosomal RNA, 1262 nt
Filed under: uncultured organism
Description: partial 16S ribosomal RNA
Rfam family: Bacterial small subunit ribosomal RNA
Source: RNAcentral
GCGAUGAGGCCUCCUACUGGGGGUAUUCACUGAUUUACGGUUGAGUUUCCCUACGUGUUCUACCCCAUAGACGGGGAUAACGUACGGAAACGUCCGCGAAUACCGGAUGACCUUGCCGAGUCACAGUGAAAAGGAAGGGCUCCGGCGCUCUGGGAGGAUCCUGCCGCCCCUCCCCUUGGUGGCGGGGUAAAGGCCCACCAAGGCACACACCGAUAGGGGGUGUGAAAACAUGGCCCCCCACAAUGGGACUGAAACACCGCCCAUACUCCUACGGGAAGCAGCACCAGGGAAUAUUGCACAAUGGACGGAAGUCUGAUGCAGCGACCCCCCGUGUAUGAUGAAUGCCCUCGGGUUGUGCAAUCCUUUACCAGGGGGCGAAGAAGGACGGCCCCCUUGGAACCCCUGUCGGCUAACUACGUGAUGACAGCCGCGGUAAGACGUAGGACACAAUGGUUGUCCGGAUUUACUGGGCGUAAAGCGUCUGCAGUGCGGACAGGUAAGUUGGGCGUGAAUGACAUCGGCUCAACCCGGAGACGUCUUUUCUACUGCGUGUCUAGAGGGUGUCAGAGGGAACUGGAAUUUCCUGAGUAUCGGUACUAUGCGCAUAGAUCGCAAAUCACACCAAUGGCGAAUGCCGCUCGAUGGGUGAUACCUGACGCUAUGACUGGACAGCUAGAGGAGCAAACAGGAUUAGAGAGCAUGGUACUCGUAGCCCUACUUACAUGGAUGCUGGAUGUCUGGCCAUAUCGCUCCGUGUCGAAGCGAUCGCGUUAAGCAUCCCGCGAGGGGACUACGGCUGCAAGUUUUCAACUCAAAGGAAUUGACGGGACACCGCACAAGCAGCGGAGCGUGUGGUUUAAUUGGCUGUUACAUGAAGAACCUUACACAGGUUUGACAUAUAGGUGGUAGCGAAGUGAAAGCGGAGCGGCCUUUCGGGGAGCGUAUACAGGUGUUGCAUGGCCGUCAUCAGCUCGAGCCAUGACAUGUCGGCUUAAGUCCCGUAACGAGCGCAACCCUCGCCAUCCUUUAUACGUGUCAGAGGGGAUUGCCGGCGUUAAGCAGGAGGAAGGCAGGGCUGACGUCAAGUCAGCAUGGCCGUUAUAUCCAGCAAUACACACAAGGUACAUUGGCCAGUUCAAAGGGCAGCGAAGCCGCGAGGUGGAGCGAAUCCCAGCAAAGCUGGUUGUAGUUUGGAGUGCAGGCUGCAACCCGCCUCCAGAAACCGGGAGGUCCUAGUAACCGCGCGUCAGCCAUAUUGCCGU